This is a non-coding RNA of Rattus norvegicus (Norway rat), 12000 nucleotides long. Lineage: Eukaryota; Metazoa; Chordata; Mammalia; Rodentia; Muridae. The record is from RefSeq and is a predicted model, not a curated record.
AGGAACACAGGCUGUUCCUGAGGAGAAAGAAGGCUGUAAGUAGAGUCUGGAAGGGGCCAGGAAGGAAGAGAGCAUUGCUGGGGGAAGGAGGAGGCCUGAGGUAAGGUCUCUGAGAAAGAGUGUGUGGGGUCUCCCAAGGCUUCCGUCUGUUGUCAUGAGUGUGUUCAACUUUCUAAACAUUAACUCCAUCCCCAAAGGCAGGCCUUGACUGAACUAAAACCCAGGGAAAUUCCCUUCCUACAGUCAGGUUUGAGUCCAUUCCCUCAGGGAGGGGAGGAAGGUCACCUAUUCUUGGCCUGCUGCGGCCUCUUCCUGGGCCCUAGCCAGGACAAAGGUCAAAAGGACUCUAGGCCUUGGUCCUUCUGAGAUUGCCUUUGCUCCCAGAAGUACCACCAGGUGGUCAUGGGAAAAGGCCUGAAAGGACUUUCCUCCAUGGCAGUCUAGACCAGUAGCAGAAGGACCAGACCACAUCACAGUUUACUUGAGCGGGAUUCUCUCCUGUACUGAACUCUUCAGCAUUCUGGACUGGAAUUUAUUUAAGUUUUUUUGUUUCUUUUUUCUUUCUUUCUUUCUCCUUUUUUGAAAGCUGUUGCUUAGGUCCUGGCUAACACCCAUCUUUUUUUUUAAUAUGAUUUAUUUAAUGUAUAUGAGUACACUGUAGCUAUCUUCAGACACCAGAAUAGGGUACCAGACUCCAUUACAGAUGGUUGUGAGCCACCAUGUGGUUGCUGGGAAUUGAACUCAGGACCUCUGGAAGAGUAGUCAGUGCUCUUAACCGCUGAGCCAUCUCUCCAGCCCUUAUUAUUUAAAUCCUGAUCAUAGUACAUUUGAGGAGGUGUAGCAAUUAAUUAGAGGGAAAAAUGGCUAAUAUCUUUCAAGUACUUCCUAUGCUCCACACCUGGGAUAAAAUACUACAAGCUUUUUAAUAUAUGUGGAUAAUCUUGUUGUGAAUUCAUUUUUAUUGUUCCUAGUUUAUGGGUGAAGCAGAUGCAGAUUGCUUCCAGAGCUGAUUCAAGGGUCCCAAGAGUAAAUGGCCAAGUUGGAAUUUGAACUCAGAUACUCCAUAGCCCUUUCCUUCAGUCUCUGUGCCUUAGCCUGACAGUGGUGUGGUAUAUCUCUCAACUAAAAUCUGGAAAGCAAGUGUGUCUAUGUGCUUUGGGACCAGAUGUCCGGGUAGAGAGAGACAGUAGCUUUCUGGGAAGCUGGGUCUCCCUCUGUACUGGCCGGGCUCCCACACUCUCCCAAGUGGCAGAUCCCAUGGGCACAAGUGACCCCAGGACCUUUUAUUCUUUAGUCAUCAUUAGUCAGAGCUUCUGAGCACCACAGAGACAAGACGCUGGGUGCAGGGAUUUAGGAAAGUGCCCAGCAGCCUCAUCCCUUAUUUCCGGGGUGGUCAGCCAGGCCUGCAAAACAGCAGCAGUCUGGACCCAAGCAGGCCACCUCUAGUCGGUGGUGGCCUCCUAGGAGCACCAGACAUUGUGUUUGCUUUUCUGUUUCCUUGAUUGGGUGGAGGAUAGGCCAGGCAACUUGGACAGGCUGGGCAGCCCACACCUCAGUAUAAGACUGGUCUAAAGACCUGACCAUCUAUCUGUCUUGUCAGUGUGUGUGAGCCAUUCUCAGCCCUCUGUCCGUCCAGUCAUCGCUGUGCUCUUCUACCAAAUAUGGCCUCUGCGUGCUCAACAACAACUGGCCCCUUUGUUAUGGCUUUGCAGAUGCCGCCCAGCUCCUCCUAUACCACGAGCAGGCAGUUUGGGAUCUAAGCCUUUUGUUUACACAAAAACUACAAAUCACAUGGGAGUUGGAUGGUGUGUGCCAGAGAUACGUGUAUCUGUCUAAGCCACAAGGCUUGGGUAUGCUAGGCAAACACCAGCCCUGAGUUGUCUCCCCAGCUCCUCUGCCCAUUCUUGGUAGUUUUUGAAACAGCAUUUCCGUGUAGCUUAGGGUGACCCUCAGAUUUCAAAUUUCAUAUGAAGUUGGGGGUGACCUUGAACCCUCUACUUCAAAGAGCUAGGAGCCGUUAGACCUGGUGACAUAUUUUUGGUAGUUAGGGAGUUUGAACUCAGAGCCUUACAUAUUGCACUACUGAGCUAUAGCCUCAGCUCCCUUAAGUUUUUACUUUGAGACAAGAUCUUGCUAGGUUGUCCACAGGCUGUCUUUGUUCUAGCUGUGCAAGCUGGCAACUUGGGAUCCUCCUGCCUCAGUCUUCCAAGUAGCUCAGGUUCCAGGUUUAUACCACCUUUCAUGACUCCAACAUACACUCUUAGUUUUUCUUGAUGGAUUCAUGUAGGAUGGUGCACAUUGAGGUGGGGGAAGUGCGUGUACAUAUUCACAUUGUAGAGGUCAGAGGACAACUGUAGGUGUCAGCCUCAGAACCACUGUCCCCUCUUUGAGAUGUAUCUACCUUUGGCUCACCAGUUAGAUUAACUGAUUGGCCAGUGGGCUCUAGGGAUUCACCUGUCUGCUUCCUUGAAGCUGGGAUUAUAACACACACCAUACCCAGCAUUUUUACUUGACUUCUGUCUUAGUUAGGAUUUUACUGCUGUGAACAGACACCAUGACCAAGGCAACUCUUUUUUUUUUUGUUAUUGUUGUUUAAGAUUUAUUUAUUUUUGUUUAUAUGAGUACACUGUAGCUGUCUUUAGACACGCACUAGAAGAGUGCAUUGGAUUCCCAUUACAGAUGGUUGUGAGCCACCCUGUGGUUGCUGGGAAUUGAACUCAGGACCUUGGAAGAGCAGUCUCUCCUGCUCAAGGCAACUCUUUUUUUUUUUUUCUUUUCUUUUUUUCGGAGCUAGGGACUGAACCCAGGGCCUUGCGCUUGCUAGGCAAGCGCUCUACCACUGAGCUAAAUCCCCAACCCCCCUAAGGCAACUCUUAUAAGGACAACAUUUCAUUGGAGCUGGCUUACAGGUUCAGAGAGGUUCAGUCCAUUAUCAUCAAGGCAGGAACAUGGCAGCAUCCAGACAGGCAUGGUGCAGGAGGAACUGAGAGUUCUACAUCUUCAUCUGAAAGCUGCUAGGGUGAGGGUCUUAAAGCCUACUCCCACUGUGACUCAUCUAGCCCAACCAGGCCACACCUACUUCAACAGGGCCACUCCUUCUAAUAGUGCCACUCCCGGGGCAGAGCAUAUACAGACCAUCCCAGGUUCUAUGGAUUAAAUUCAGAUGAAUACUUUAUUAACAACUAUGGUCACCCUCAUACAUAUUUUUUAUUUAUUUCUUACUUAAAAGACAACUCUUAGGGGCUGGGGAUUUAGCUCAGUGGUAGAGCGCUUACCUAGGAAGCGCAAGGCCCUGGGUUCGGUCCCCAGCUCCGAAAAAAAAAAAAAAAAAAAAAGAACAAAAAAAAAAAAAAGACAACUCUUAGGGGUGGGUGAUAUUCAUCUCCGUUUUGCAAGUAAGGACACUGAAGCCAGAGUCUUACAAUUAGAAAAUAGAUGAUCUGGGAUUUGAACCCUCAGAUCAUGGUCACUCCUCUUCAGACCCAUUGGCCUUUGUGCACACCCCACAGCACACAUACCCCUCAGAAAAAAAUUGGUAUUACUUCCUGGAUGUCUAAAACUGCUGUAGGUAGUUCUUAUGGAUGAGCCGUGACCAGUAACCUAGGUAAGGCUCUUUGAUAAGCCUCUAAUUGGCUGCUGGCCAGCACCUCCCGUCCUGGUACAAGCUCUUCUGAUCAGUUACUUUUGGAUGCCGUCACACCUAUAAAGCCCUGUUGAGUUCAUCUCAUUAUGGCAACUCUUCAUAGCUCCCCGCUACCAAAACCCCCCCAGUCCUUUCAUGUUUGUCAUGAAAUCCUAAUUUAUAUAUUCCUUUUGUCCUUUGUGGUUUUAGGUCCUGCCUGAUCCUCCCUCCCACUGUGACCUUAGGAGUUCCAGGACAAAUUUCAUAUAGAUCCCCCUCCCCAUUCCUAUCCAGACAACCUUGAUACAUAAAUUUAACACUGGCCCCUGCUUUGCCCAUUCUGUUCUCUGGAAACAUUUCUGUGGACUCAUCCCUUCUGCCCUCCUGUGACCGCCUCCGGGGUCUCGGCCAAUGUCUGCGCCACUCGGAGUUGGUGCCACAGAGCAGCUCAGUACAUGUAACUUACAAGAAGCCUGAGGUUGUGCGACAGUAGGCAGAACCUUGGAGACCCAGACAGUGAGAAUGGUUUGUGUGGACUCAGAGGCAGAACUCAGUAACACAGCAAGGUGAAAGAGAGUGAGGGAUGGGAAGGAUCACACAGACGACGGGACCUGUGCAGUGGUGGUGGAUGCCAUUAAUCCCAGCACUUGGGAGGCAGAUAGGCGGAUCUUUGUGAAUUCAAGGCCAGGCUGGUCUACAGAGCAAGGUCCAAGACAGCUGAGAAGGAAAUCCUGUCACAACAACAAUAACCAACCAACCAACCAACAAACAGAACUGAAUAGAAUGGAGAGGGGGAGGGGAAAGGGGAAGUGGAGAUGAGGGAGUAGGAAUCAUUCCUUUAGGUCAAAACAAUCCUUAGCUCUCAGCUUGGGAAUAGCCUUCAGAGAUCAGCCAGUCCAGGAGUGGCAAAGCACUCACAAGCUCUUAUGCACCCUGAGAAGAGGAUGCUAGUGUUGAUUGGUAAUGUCUGCUCUGGGCACUGAAUUGGAAACGGUGGUGCAUGUGCUAGAAUUUCAUGUAUUUGCUUCAGCUGCUACCUUUCCAAAGUAGAACAAGGGUAGGGUGUCUGUCUAAGGUUUCAACCCCACUCUGUCCUAUUUCAAGAGGGACUUGUGUAGCUGAGGCUGCCCUUGAACUCCUGAUUCUCCUACCUCCACUUUCCAGGUGGUUAGGAUUACAGACUUUUGACACUGCACCCAGCUAGAAUAUCCAAUUUAACACAGACAAGGGAUAUGGGAAAUGUGGCGGAUUUGGGUACCGAGUUUGUGAUAAUGGUGAGAGAGCAGGCAGUCCACAGCUGUGGGGAAAGUUGUGGCAUGUCACAGACUGGACAUGGGGUAAAUGUUUCCACUGAGUGCUAACUCGCGGGACCUGCCUAGCAUCUGCCUCUACCUCUGCCUCUUUUAUUUCACUUCUGAUCUUCCCAUCUUGGUCUCCCCAUAGAAGAAUGGGAGGCUCUUUGGAGCAAAGGUUUUUCUGUAGACUGAGUCAAAAAUACAGUUGGGAGGCAAGAAGCGGGUGGGGCUAGGCUUGCACAGGGAUGGCACCCAUGUGCAGAGGCCCUGGCAGUGUGGCAGUGAAAAGACCCCCGAAUGCAGGCAGCCAUGGAGGAGCAGAAAGCUGGGAGGAGAAGAGCAGGAACCACUAAGCCAGAGUGUACCAACCGCCCUGGCUGGAGGCUGGAAGGGCCAGGCGCUCAGGAUUGGCUCACCUUUAAAGUUCGCUCACGAGGCUCUGCCUUCUUCCACUCCUGCAUCUGCUAUCUUCCUCUCCAGUCCAUCUUUGUCUUCUCCAUGUCCCUGUCCCCAUCCAUACCAGAGUGUCUCCUGGGUAUAUGGUGAGAGUGGCCCUAUCAGAGUUAAGCCAAGUUGCUGCUUGAAUCUAGGGUCUGAGGCUAGACAAAGAAAGUCGGCUUCGAGAAUGCUUCAGAGCAUCUCAGCACUCCACCAGCUUUCCCUAAGAGAAACCCAGAGAGGAACGGCUGCCCCGGUGUCAGUGUCGAGGUUUAACAGUCACUGUGAUUUGCCCGCUGACUCUCAUCUUCCUGUUGGGGAGCACUCCCAGGUCCUGCCCACAGAACUGCCCUGCUUUAUGUCUUGUUAGAAAGGCCUCUUCGACCUUACCCCUGGAUAGAUACAGGACUGAUCUGGCCAGUCUGUGUCAUCCACCCAUGAACCACAAGCCACUCAAUAGAAACAGACCCAGUGCCAUCAACUGAGGGCCUGUUGCCGCUCUCUCGGGGGUGGGCUGUGUGUUUUGUUUUCUGCAGAGUUUGCUACUGUGGGAAAUGUAAGUAUGAGCUGCUUAGAGCAUUUUGGGGUUUGACUACCCAGAGAGUAAAGCUAACACAAAUGAGAACAGACCUGAAUCAAAGAGACAGAUGCCCAGUGACACUGAGUGGCCUGAUCCAGAUAUGCCUGAAGCUGCUCUCUGAGGUUUUUUCAGUUAUGUGAGGAAAAGCUUAAGCUGUCCUGAUUUGGAUUUCUGUCUCUAUGUCUGUCUCUGUCUGUCUCUCUUUCUCCACCCCACUUCUCUGCACCACCGCCCCAGGCUGACAUGUAACCAAAGCUGGUCUUAGACCCUCUACAUAGCUGAGGGUGAUCUGAGGCCCUGCUCCUCCUGCCUCUACCUCCCGAAUCACGAAUGGCACAGUUUCAUGCGAUGCUGUGGCAGGCAAGCGCUGCCCCGACUAAGCUACUACGUCCUCACCCUCUUCACUCGGAUUCCUGAUCGUUUACAUGCAAGAAGCCGUAGAUCAGUCUAGAGAAACAGGUAUAGAGAACCCAAAGAGAGAAACAACAGCAAGCCAAGAACCAAGUCUGAAGAGACCGCAGAGUCCCCACUCAUAGGUUCUGGAACUGAACUUGCAGCCCCCAGCACCCUCCAACCCAGCUCAAGACGGGGCCAGCUUGCUCAAGGCAAACCAUCAAGGCUUGCAUGGAAGCCAAAUGUUCUGUCCACCUCCCUGACUGCAGUAGCUGGCAGGCCUGACUCAACCCCAGAAGUGCCUACCUCCCUGAGGUUAGAAGCAUGUCAACCCGGUGCCUGUGAUGAUCAGGAGAAGGGCAGGGUAGAUUGGGGAACCUGCCUGGGAUGUGUUUUCCCUAAAUGGUCCUUGAUCCUGGAAAGGAAAUGCACCCUGGGGCCACUUAGCUUGGGCUCCUCCCAGCCUCUGCCUCCUCCCUCCCAAGCCUUCCGGGUUCUCCAGCUUGCCACACUCCUAAUGCUGAGACCCUUUAAUACAGUUUCUCAUGUUAUGGUGACCCUCCUCCUAACCAUCAAAUUAUUUUUGUUGUUAUUUCAUAACUGUAAUCUUGCUAGAGUUAUGAAUUGUAAGGUAAAUAUCAGUGUUUUCCAAUGGUCUUAGAACCCUGUGAAAGGGGGCAUUCAUCUCCCAAAAGGUUGCGCCCCACAGUUUGAAAACCGAAGUUCUAGAGUAAAGUUAGAGCCUGAGGGAGCUCAGUUGGCCUCCUUGGAAAAGGGAUGAGGCUAGGCUAGUAUUUACAAAAAGCAAGAGGGCAGUGCUCGCCAGUGACCUCUAGUGGGGGAGUAUCAGAAGAGAGCUGCCAUUCCUGGGGUCUUAGGAACUACAUUGCUGUCCCAUUCUUAGGAGAGCUGCGCGCAGAGGCUGCUAGCUCCACAGUUCAGUUUAGCAGCCGAGGAAACCGGGGGCCUGAGAGAAUCUCACUCAUGCUGCUAGGGAGAGGCUGAUCUGAAAUGGAAACUCAGGACUGCCUGCCUGCCUGCCUGCCUGCCUGCCUGCCUGCCUGCCUGCCUGCCUGCCUGCCUGCUAAGUGGAUGUUUUGUGGUCCUUCCCACAGGUCCAUAUCCUCCACACACAGGCAUGACUGUAUCUGUGGGAUUGAGGCCUUGACUCCAUGCCCUAGUCCCUCCCAUACACCCCAACACUCCAUCUCUCCCAGCUCCUCCAGUCUCCUCACGCUCUUUGCUUCCUUCCCUUCCAUUUUGGAAAGCAGCCAUGGGUUUUUUCCCCUCCCAUCUGAGGGAAAGAAAAUGGUUUUAAUCCCCUACACCCCCAGUCCUUCCAUCUUCUCAUCCAUCCAAACCCAAGCAUCUCUCUCUCUCUCUCCCUCCCCUUCUUCUGUUUAUCCAUCACUAGAAGCCACCCCCUUCUCUCUUGCCUGUAGGUUCUGUGGCUAUAAUCAAAUCAUAACUUUUAUUAAAUUUAAGAUUACUUUUUAAUGGAAUCAAUUUCUUGUGUGGUGCUUCUCUGCCUGCCCGCGGGCCCCGCCGGCUCUGUGCUCAGCAUCCCCACCCUCACAAUUGUCUCUGCCGCUGGCGUUUCUAGCUAAGCUGCUACCCAAGGAGGGGUAGGUCUGCCAUCCCUAUACACACCACACAGAAACACACACACACACACACACACACACACACACACACACACACUUGUGCACAUACAUCAAGCUGCGCCUUCCACAAAGCCCCAAACAUACAACCUCCAAGCCCCAGGCGCCCACACUGUAGGGUGGGGGUGGGGAGCCAGCAUGGAGGUUGCAGGGCAGGAGGAGGAUUGCGCUGCAGAGAGAAAGACUGAGGGUGCCAUACAAACACAGAUAGAGGAGGCAUUUCUCAGCCUGUUAAUUUCCUACAGUUCUGUUUCCUAGCCUCAGAAGCAAGCUGGUUUCUGCCAGUGCACGCCUUCCCCUGACUGCAUUGUGUAUCUGAUGGGGAAGGGAAAUGGGAGUCCAAAGGAUCAGCAAGCCAGGAGACUCUGGGCUUCCUUUGAUUUAUAAACGCACGUAGAUGAUACAAGUCACAUUUUGCUGGUACUGUGACAUCUUCCCCCACCCCCAAACACAAGCUCAUCAGACCCAUUUGUAGCUGGAGGGCCCCUAAGCCUACAUACAGUGUGGGGCUGUGUACUUAGGGAGGGAAAGAGCUUAAGGGUUCUAAAGGGAGGAGAGGGAUAUAGAGAAGAGGAGACAUUUUGAUAGAUUGGCAUAAGCAAGAGGGGUUGCAGAAGAGGGAAAGCCAUAGUUGUCUGGAGAUUGGGGUGGUGGCUGUCUGUUGACUCAGCAAAGAUAGGGGAACUACUGGGAUAGAUCUGGGCUCAUCUCUAGCUUAGGCAGAACCAGGUGGGCAAGAACACAUAGUUGGACAGGUGCAUUUGAGACUGGGGGAUUGCUAUCUUGGCUCUCUGUACUGUCUCGGCACAUCUGCUUUACUAUUAGGAGUGGAAGCUCAGUUCAUCCACCAGGUGGGUGGUGCUUAGCUUAGUGAAUGGGUGCCCAGUCUUUGCCUCCGGUGCUCUCUGAGUAGCCACUCUGAUGUUUUUAUCGUAACGACCUUGAACAGGUGACCUGGCGUCUCUGAGACUGAUUCUUCUGAAUAGGGGGAUUUAUUUGGAGUGAUGCAGGCAGAUGAGCUAGCCUAGCACAAGCUGGGAGAGGAAAUACUGAGGAGGCUGAGGCAGGAGGAUGACUAGAAUUCAAGUCUAGUGUGGGUUACACAUCGUGAUUGCCAGAUUAGCCAGAGCUAUGUAGUAAGACUAUUCUGUCCGACAGGAAGUAGGGCAGGGGCCCGAGAGGUGGCUCAGUGGUUAAGAACACAUACUAUUUUUGUAGUGGACCUGAGUUUAGAUUUCAGCAUCUAUCUCAGGAUCUCAUAACUGCUAUGACUCCAGCACCAGAAAGAUCUGAUGCUUCUGGCCUCCGUAGGCUCUACACUCAUGCACAUACUCACACAGAGACUCACGUAUACAUAAAAUCUGUAAGUUCAAGAUCAUCCUUGUCUCCUUAGUAAGCUCUAGGGAAUGCUGGGCUACAUGAGACCCUGUCUUAAAUAUAAAAGCUAAAAGCUUCAGGCAGGCCUGGGAUCCUGAAUGAACUUCAGGCUGGGACCAGAUAGCGUGUGAAUGAGUGGCCCUAGAAUUGGACCCGAGGGCAUUCCUAGCUCUAAUCUGACUUAAGUAAAUGGGUGGCUGAUGUCUGUGAGGAGCAGAGGGACCCAUGAAGGCUCCUGGUGUUGAGUCCCCACCCUGGGCUUUCAGGGAACAAGGAGUUAGACCUGGUCUGGGGCAGGGUCAAGGAAAACAUCAGUCCCUUUUCUGCAGCCUCAGCUAGCCCCUGUUGUUUUUGAGAUUUUAGAUGGCUCUGACAUCCUUAGACAAGGUCCAGACGAGGAAAGUCUAUAAAGAUUUAAUCAAACACUGUGCAUGGGUGACCCUGGUUGCCCAUUCCUGUCUGCCAACUCCAGGGACAAGGAAAAGCUUUAUGAAGACUGGAGUAAGGAACAGACAUGGCAAAAGCUAACUUCUUAGUGAAGCCCAUAUUUAGCUAGACUGGGGAGCAAAUGCUAGCAUGGCCCCAGUCACAGCCUCACCCAGCUCUGUAGCAGGACCCAAGGAGAGGGGCUACUUAGAGCUUGGCUGUUGUUUUAGAGAGAAGGGGCACAGGAGCCUCCUCCUUAAGCCUCUCCACAGCUCCUGGAAGGAGGCUGGUCCAACCUGCUCAGCACCUCCCUCUGCUUGACCCUUGGCACAGGCAUGCUGUUCAGUCGGUACCUGAGCCCGCACACCUGCACGGGCCUGUCUGGAGAGAGACAUGUCAUGGACGUUCCCACGGGCCAUGCAGUCACUCCUACAGCUACAGCCCAAGGGGUCUGAUGAGCUUCAGACGUCACCUCUCACAAUUUUACUCAGGACAGCCCGAAAGGGGGUGGGCAAGAGCCACUCAAACUAAGUGAGGAAGAUCUCCUGAGCUUUCUCAAGCAGGUUGCUGUAUUCUGUGACCCUUGACCUGGAAGUCAUUGUAACCUUGGUCGCACACUCUUACCAAACUCUUCUCUUCUUUUCUCCAUUUUUCUUUAUAGAGUUUGUUUGUUUGUUUUGAGUUUGGUUUUAAUUAUUAAUUAAUUAAUUUAUUUAUUUUGGUGGGGUGAGUUUGCACUUGCCAGGGCAUGCGUGCGUAGGUCAGAGGACAGCCUACAAGAGCCUGUUCUUUCAUUCCACCACCCGAGUCCCGGAAGUUACUUAAUCUGCUGAGCAAUCUCUCGGCCGGCUCUCUUUUUAAGAGGCGGUGUUGCUAUGUAGACCAGCUAGGCCUGAAAUUCACCCUCCCCUCGAGUCUGUCUCGUGAGUGAAGAGAGCUCAGGUGUGCACCGUCACACCCAGCUAGACCAGCCAGACUUUGUUUGAAUACCCAGUGAUCAAGUCCUGUGGUACAGACAGGAAAGUCGGGGCUCAGAGAAGUUAGGUCAGUGAGUGGUGCUGCUGUUUUCGAAAUGGUGCAGAGGCUUGAACCCAGGCAUCUUAGACAAGUGCUGAGCCUCCCGGGCACACCAUGGGGUGGAACUUGAAACCAAAACACCUGUUCCCAGAGUCCCCGCUGUUCCUCCUUUCUAGAAGCUUCCCUUUAUUUCCUGUCUCUUGUCCUUCACUUUCACAGUCUCAGGUUCACCGUUGUCAUCAUCACCGUCACAAUCCAUCAUCUCCUCGUUUCUCCUUUUAGUUCAAAAGAAAUACUCGCUUGAGAUUCAGGCUCAGCAGCUGCUCUGGAGGUCCUUCCUCUUCCGUCUUCCUCUUCUUCUUCAACAUCACCACACCCACUGCCAUCGCACAGUCGCCUUCUGUCAAAUAUCUAACUGCAAUGGUGGCCGUACUCCUCCUUCUGUGGGAUCAGAGGAGGUUCAGUUUACACACACAACCUAAGAGUGUGGAAAGCCCUCAGAAAGUGAGGACUGGGGUUGGGUGGGGGUGGGAAGAGAAUUUAAAACAGAGUGUCUGUUGAGGGAAAUUAAUCAACGGCCAAGCAGAUUGCUUGUCAUCUUUCAAUAUCUGUAAAAAUAACAGGCCUCUAGAGAGAGAGAGAGACAGCCAGAGCGCCAAGGGAACAGAAGACCAGAAGAUGCUCUGCCCAGCCCAGGCCUGUGAGAAGAUCCAGGAGACGGAGAACCACCCACUUUGGGUAUUGGCCAACACUCCGUCUUCCCUAGCCACAGUCGCUCUUGCCACCCCUUGGAAGCUGGCGGCCUCCAGUUACACUGCCCAGGAGUUUGGAAAUUGCCUGUCUCUGCUAGUCUGAAUCCCACCUGCCUUCUAGCUCACUGAGCUGGUUGCUCCCUGUGAAUGUCGGCUGCCAGCCGGGCAGUCAGGAUGCAUAGGAACUUGAAGAGAGGGCAGCGGCUUCCCGGAUCAGAGCCUCCGCCCAGACUUCCAGCCAAGGCCCCAGAACUCCCAGGACCUGGAGGGUUUUUUCUCCUGGUUGUGUUUGGAAUUGGCUGGUUUUUCUGGGCAUCAGGCCCAGCUCAGUUUAAUUUUUGUUUAUUUUUAUGUACAGAUUCUCUUCUGUUUGGGGAAGAGCUUUGUGUAAAUUAUUAUUAUUUAUAUGAUAAAGAAUAAAUCACACCAAAUAAAAAAA